GUGGUCACAUCACAUUGAAACACCAGUUCCUGUAAAAUCACCAAAGCUAAGCAACAUUGAGCUUGGUCAGUACCUAGAUGGGUGACUGCUUGGGAAUACCACAUGC
This 106-nucleotide ribosomal RNA is filed under the name Acanthosepion pharaonis. Lineage: Eukaryota; Metazoa; Mollusca; Cephalopoda; Sepiida; Sepiidae. The record is from RNAcentral.